Molecule: transfer RNA, 65 nt
Filed under: Epiphyas postvittana
Lineage: Eukaryota; Metazoa; Arthropoda; Insecta; Lepidoptera; Tortricidae
Description: tRNA-Val
Source: RNAcentral
CAAAUUAGAGCUUGAUAAAGCAUUUCAUUUACAUUGAAAAGAUAUUAAUUUUUUAUUUAAUUUGA